RNAcentral lists this ribosomal RNA (497 nucleotides) under uncultured bacterium. RNAcentral describes it as "partial 16S ribosomal RNA". It matches the Rfam family "Bacterial small subunit ribosomal RNA", at positions 28 to 507 of the family's 1533-position model. The record is from RNAcentral.
GAUGAACGCUGGCGGCGUGCCUAAUACAUGCAAGUCGAGCGAACAGACGAGGAGCUUGCUCCUCUGACGUUAGCGGCGGACGGGUGAGUAGCACGUGAAUAACCUACCUUUAAGACUGGGAUAACUUCGGAAAACCGGAGCUAAUACCGGAUAAUAUAUUGAACCGCAUGGUUCAAUAGUGAAAGGCGGUUUUGCUGUCACUUAUAGAUGGAUCCGCGCCGCAUUAGCUAGUUGGUAAGGUAACGGCUUACCAAGGCAACGAUGCGUAGCCGACCUGAGAGGGUGAUCGGCCACACUGGAACUGAGACACGGUCCAGACCCCUACGGGAGGCAGCAGUAGGGAAUCUUCCGCAAUGGGCGAAAGCCUGACGGAGCAACGCCGCGUGAGUGAUGAAGGUCUUCGGAUCGUAAAACUCUGUUAUUAGGGAAGAACAAAUGUGUAAGUAACUAUGCACGUCUUGACGGUACCUAAUCAGAAAGCCACGGCUAACUACGUG